GUGAGGUAACGGCUCACCAAGGCGAUUACGGGUAGCUGGUCUGGGAGGACGAUCAGCCACACUGGGACUGAGACACGGCCCAGACUCCUACGGGAGGCAGCAGUGGGGAAUCUUGCGCAAUGGGGGAAACCCUGACGCAGCGACGCCGCGUGCGGGAUGAAUGCCUCCGGGUUGUAACCCGCUUUCAGCAGGGACGAAAUUGACGGUACCUGCUGAAGAAGGCCCGGCUAACUACGUGCCAGCAGCCGCGGUAAUACGUAGGGGCCAAGCGUUGUCCGGAAUUAUUGGGCGUAAAGAGCUCGUAGGCGGUUUGGUAAGUCGGAUGUGAAAUCUCCACGCUCAACGUGGAGCGGUCAUCCGAGACUGCCAUGACUUGAGUCCGGUAGAGGAGUGUGGAAUUCCCGGUGUAGCGGUGAAAUGCGCAGAGAUCGGGAGGAACACCUGUAGCGAAGGCGACACUCUGGGCCGGUACUGACGCUGAGGAGCGAAAGCGUGGGGAGCGAACAGGAUUAGAUACCCUGGUAGUCCACGCCGUAAACGAUGGGCACUAGGUGUGGGGGUCUAUCGACGACUUCUGUGCCGUAGCUAACGCAUUAAGUG
RNAcentral lists this ribosomal RNA (600 nucleotides) under uncultured Actinomycetes bacterium. Its description in RNAcentral is "bacterial SSU rRNA". It matches the Rfam family "Bacterial small subunit ribosomal RNA", at positions 252 to 866 of the family's 1533-position model. Lineage: Bacteria; Bacillati; Actinomycetota; Actinomycetes. The record is from RNAcentral.